This 247-nucleotide ribosomal RNA is filed under the name uncultured bacterium. RNAcentral describes it as "partial 16S ribosomal RNA". It matches the Rfam family "Bacterial small subunit ribosomal RNA", at positions 523 to 769 of the family's 1533-position model. The record is from RNAcentral.
AUACAGAGGUCCCGAGCGUUGUUCGGAUUCACUGGGCGUAAAGGGUGCGUAGGUGGUGAGGUAAGUCGGAUGUGAAAGCUCGGAGCUCAACUCCGAAAUGGCAUUGGAAACUACCUUGCUAGAGGGUUGGAAGGGGGACUGGAAUUCUCGGUGUAGCAGUGAAAUGCGUAGAUAUCGAGAGGAACACCAGUGGCGAAGGCGAGUCCCUGGACAACCCCUGACACUGAGGCACGAAAGCUAGGGGAGC